RNAcentral lists this long non-coding RNA (318 nucleotides) under Jatropha curcas. RNAcentral's name for it is "long non-coding RNA (JCUR_LNC002535)". The record is from RNAcentral. Lineage: Eukaryota; Viridiplantae; Streptophyta; Magnoliopsida; Malpighiales; Euphorbiaceae.
CAAGAGACAAAGGUAGGAUGGCCCAAAUUAAAACAAAUAUGUACAAUGUUGGGAUUUGCAAGCUUGUUUGUAGUGGCGCUGAAUGGGUUGAGUGGGGUUCUUGCUUUGUUAUGGAUGGAGAAGGAUAUGUAUUUGUUGCUUGGGUAUGAUGAGCAUCACAUUGAUGUUCAAGUUCAGUUUACAGGAGUCCCUACUUCCUGUUAUAUCAAAAUUUUUAUGGUUUUCUAGCAGCUUUGGAUAGAUGGUGAUAGGUUUUAUUUUUAUAGCUAAUUUUAGCAAUUUUUAUUUAGGUUUUCAUUUAAGUUUUUUUAAUUUUUA